RNAcentral lists this ribosomal RNA (409 nucleotides) under bacterium. Its description in RNAcentral is "partial 16S ribosomal RNA". It matches the Rfam family "Bacterial small subunit ribosomal RNA", at positions 355 to 776 of the family's 1533-position model. The record is from RNAcentral.
UGGGGAAUAUUGCACAAUGGGCGAAAGCCUGAUGCAGCGACGCCGCGUGAGGGAUGACGGCCUUCGGGUUGUAAACCUCUUUCAGCAGGGACGAAGCGCAAGUGACGGUACCUGCAGAAGAAGCACCGGCUAACUACGUGCCAGCAGCCGCGGUAAUACGUAGGGUGCAAGCGUUGUCCGGAAUUACUGGGCGUAAAGAGUUCGUAGGCGGUUUGUCGCGUCGUUUGUGAAAACCAGCAGCUCAACUGCUGGCUUGCAGGCGAUACGGGCAGACUUGAGUACUGCAGGGGAGACUGGAAUUCCGGGUGUAGCGGUGAAAUGCGCAGAUAUCAGGAGGAACACGGGUGGCGAAGGCGGGUCUCUGGGCAGUAACUGACGCUGAGGAACGAAAGCGUGGGUAGCGAACAGG